GGGCCGGUAACUCAGUGGUAGAGGUAAGUUGGCACCCGCUCAUAGCUUUCAAAAAUCUAGUCUAAUUCCCUGGUUCAGUGUAGGACUGCAGCCCACCAAAGCCGCCUUCCCGAAGUCACCGGUUCGACUCCGGUUCGGCCCU
This 142-nucleotide transfer RNA is filed under the name Pseudopyrenochaeta lycopersici CRA-PAV_ER 1211. RNAcentral's name for it is "tRNA-Und (NNN) (tRNA-Und-NNN-2-1)". It matches the Rfam family "tRNA". From Rfam's summary of the family: Transfer RNA (tRNA) molecules are approximately 80 nucleotides in length. Their secondary structure includes four short double-helical elements and three loops (D, anti-codon, and T loops). Further hydrogen bonds mediate the characteristic L-shaped molecular structure. tRNAs have two regions of fundamental functional importance: the anti-codon, which is responsible for specific mRNA codon recognition, and the 3' end, to which the tRNAs corresponding amino acid is attached (by aminoacyl-tRNA synthetases). tRNAs cope with the degeneracy of the genetic code in two manners: having more than one tRNA (with a specific anti-codon) for a particular amino acid; and 'wobble' base-pairing, i.e. permitting non-standard base-pairing at the 3rd anti-codon position. Lineage: Eukaryota; Fungi; Ascomycota; Dothideomycetes; Pleosporales; Pseudopyrenochaetaceae. The record is from RNAcentral.